This 492-nucleotide ribosomal RNA is filed under the name uncultured bacterium. RNAcentral describes it as "partial 16S ribosomal RNA". It matches the Rfam family "Bacterial small subunit ribosomal RNA", at positions 29 to 507 of the family's 1533-position model. The record is from RNAcentral.
AGUGAACGCUGGCGGUAGGCCUAACACAUGCAAGUCGAACGGCAGCACAGUAAGAGCUUGCUCUUACGGGUGGCGAGUGGCGGACGGGUGAGGAAUACAUCGGAAUCUACUUUUUCGUGGGGGAUAACGUAGGGAAACUUACGCUAAUACCACAUACGACCUACGGGUGAAAGCAGGGGAUCUUCGGACCUUUCGCGAUUGAAUGAGCCGAUGUCGGAUUAGCUAGUUGGCGGGGUAAAGGCCCACCAAGGCAACGAUCCGUAGCUGGUCUGAGAGGAUGAUCAGCCACACUGGAACUGAGACACGGUCCAGACUCCUACGGGAGGCAGCAGUGGGGAAUAUUGGACAAUGGGCGCAAGCCUGAUCCAGCAAUACCGCGUGGGUGAAGAAGGCCUUCGGGUUGUAAAGCCCUUUUGUUGGGAAAGAAAAGCAGCAGGUUAAUACCCCGCUGUUCUGACGGUACCCAAAGAAUAAGCACCGGCUAACUUCGUG